Molecule: ribosomal RNA, 460 nt
Filed under: uncultured bacterium
Lineage: Bacteria
Description: partial 16S ribosomal RNA
Rfam family: Bacterial small subunit ribosomal RNA
Source: RNAcentral
CCUACGGGAGGCAGCAGUGAGGAAUAUUGGUCAAUGGACGCAAGUCUGAACCAGCCAUGCCGCGUGCAGGAAGACGGCUCUAUGAGUUGUAAACUGCUUUUGUACGAGGGUAAACGCAGAUACGCGUAUCUGUCUGAAAGUAUCGUACGAAUAAGGAUCGGCUAACUCCGUGCCAGCAGCCGCGGUAAUACGGAGGAUUCAAGCGUUAUCCGGAUUUAUUGGGUUUAAAGGGUGCGUAGGCGGUCUGAUAAGUUAGAGGUGAAAUCCCGAGGCUCAACUUCGUAAUUGCCUCUGAUACUGGUCGGCUAGAGAGGAGUUGCGGUAGGCGGAAUGUAUGGUGUAGCGGUGAAAUGCUUAGAGAUCAUACAGAACACCGAUUGCGAAGGCAGCAUACCAAGCUACUUCUGACGUUGAGGCACGAAAGCGUGGGGAGCAAACAGGAUUAGAUACCCCAGUAGUC